AACGAACGCUGGCGGCAUGCCUAACACGUGCAAGUCGAACGAGACCUUCGGGUCUAGUGGCGCACAGGUGCGUAACGCGUGGGAACCUGCCCUUAGGUUCGGAAUAACUCCCCGAAAGGGGUGCUAAUACCGGAUAAUGUCUUCGGACCAAAGAUUUAUCGCCUUUGGAUGGGCCCGCGUUGGAUUAGCUAGUUGGUAGGGUAAAAGCCUACCAAGGCGACGAUCCAUAGCUGGUCUGAGAGGAUGAUCAGCCACACUGGGACUGAGACACGGCCCAGACUCCUACGGGAGGCAGCAGUGGGGAAUAUUGGACAAUGGGCGAAAGCCUGAUCCAGCAAUGCCGCGUGAGUGAUGAAGGCCUUAGGGUUGUAAAGCUCUUUUACCCGGGAUGAUAAUGACAGUACCGGGAGAAUAAGCUCCGGCUAACUCCGUG
RNAcentral lists this ribosomal RNA (433 nucleotides) under uncultured bacterium. Its description in RNAcentral is "partial 16S ribosomal RNA". It matches the Rfam family "Bacterial small subunit ribosomal RNA", at positions 29 to 507 of the family's 1533-position model. The record is from RNAcentral.